RNAcentral lists this ribosomal RNA (253 nucleotides) under uncultured bacterium. RNAcentral's name for it is "partial 16S ribosomal RNA". It matches the Rfam family "Bacterial small subunit ribosomal RNA", at positions 524 to 776 of the family's 1533-position model. The record is from RNAcentral.
UACGUAGGGGGCGAGCGUUGUCCGGAAUUACUGGGCGUAAAGGGCGCGUAGGCGGUCCUUUAAGUCCGCGGUGAAAGCCCGGGGCUCAACCCCGGAGGGUCCGCGGAGACUGGAGGACUGGAGGGUCGGAGAGGAGUGCGGAAUUCCUGGUGUAGCGGUGGAAUGCGUAGAGAUCAGGAGGAACACCGAUGGCGAAGGCGGCGAUCUGGGUCGAUACUGACGCUGAGGUGCGAAAGCGUGGGGAGCAAACAGG